GAAGGUGGGGACGACGUCAAGUCAUCAUGGCCCUUACGAGUAGGGCUACACACGUGCUACAAUGGCGAGUACAGAGGGAUGCAAACCUGCGAAGGUAAGCGGACCCCUUAAAGCUCGUCGUAGUCCGGAUUGGAGUCUGCAACUCGACUCCAUGAAGUCGGAAUCGCUAGUAAUCGCGGAUCAGAAUGCCGCGGUGAAUACGUUCCCGGGCCUUGUACACACCGCCCGUCACACCAUGGGAGUUGGGUUCACCCGAAGGCCGUGCGCCAACCUUUCGAGGGGGCAGCGGACCACGGUGAGCUCAGCGACUGGGGUGAAGUCGGAACAAGGUAG
This 333-nucleotide ribosomal RNA is filed under the name Heterosigma akashiwo. RNAcentral describes it as "partial Bacterial small subunit ribosomal RNA". It matches the Rfam family "Bacterial small subunit ribosomal RNA", at positions 1169 to 1499 of the family's 1533-position model. Lineage: Eukaryota; Raphidophyceae; Chattonellales; Chattonellaceae. The record is from RNAcentral.